ACAGAGGGUGCGAGCGUUAAUCGGAAUCACUGGGCGUAAAGAGUGCGUAGGUGGCUAAAGAAGUUGAGUGUGAAAGCCCUGGGCUCAACCUGGGAAUUGCAUUCAAAACUCUUUAGCUAGAGUAUAGUAGGGGAAAGUGGAAUUUCCGGUGUAGCGGUGAAAUGCGUAGAUAUCGGAAGGAACAUCAGUGGCGAAGGCGACUUUCUGGACUAAUACUGACACUGAGGCACGAAAGCGUGGGGAGCAAACAGG
Molecule: ribosomal RNA, 252 nt
Filed under: uncultured bacterium
Lineage: Bacteria
Description: partial 16S ribosomal RNA
Rfam family: Bacterial small subunit ribosomal RNA
Source: RNAcentral